Molecule: long non-coding RNA, 2046 nt
Organism: Salmo salar (Atlantic salmon)
Lineage: Eukaryota; Metazoa; Chordata; Actinopteri; Salmoniformes; Salmonidae
Source: RefSeq, a predicted model, not a curated record
UGUCUGUCUACUCGCUCAAGUUUCCCAGGAGCCCCAGGCAGCACACUUUCCUCCUCUGAGCUCCACAGCACAGCUGGCUCUACAGCACAACGCUGAGCGUGCCCCAGUCGCACGCCCUCCUCUCUUUGGAGAUGGGAGCAACAGGGACACACGGCUUCCCACACUUCUGAAUGCAGCUUGCUGAGCCGCGAGACAUAAUAGAAGUGUGUCUGCUCUCACAAAGACCCACUGGCUGUUCCCAUGCACAGCCAGCCAUGCUGGGAGAGAGAUUGGUUUAUAGGGCAGUCUAGUACCAACAGACAAACCAUCUGUAUCCCUGAUAACUCAGAUUGGGAAUACUUUAAGGAAUUGCACAAUAUUUUUAAAAUAUUUCUGCUUAACAUAUAUAUUGAAGAGAAAGUUUACAAAUGUACCAUUUUAUGGAUACGCCAAAAGUUGCUUAUGUAUCGGGGCCAUUAGCAAAUAGGAUUGAUUAGCUGAUCUAGUAGACUCUUGCCAUGACCAAGUUCCUGUGAAAAGGCCAUUUCAGAAAUAUGGCUAUUACACACAUUUAUCGUCAUUAUGUGAUUUGGGAUCUAAUGCAAUGAUAGUUAGCUGCUGUAGGACGAAAAAGACUUGUGAUCCUAGCAUAUGUCACAUUUGCAUUUUGUUGAUUUGUGUCACAACUUGACAUGGGAACAGUCUUUUUCUGAGUACACAUGGGUAUAUAGAGACGUUCUCAGGGACUAACGUGGCCAACCUCUUUUGCAUAUGGCUUAACAUCCCACCUGUCCUGUGCGGAAUCAGCUAUUAUUCCCACUGACUAUUGUCCCACCUUCAGAGCCCUCUGAUUGGCUGCAGAGCAUAAAACAGCGCGAGAGGAGGCACAUAAAUACAGAGUGGAGUUGCAGAGUUCACUAUCGAAUACUCUCUUAGCAUCAGCUGAGCCAAGAUCAGCAGCAACACAGCAGAACAGAGGAGCUAUCAGAACACAAACUCCAGACCACCAUCAAGACCUAGAAAGAUCAACAUUUGUACUUGAUUUCCGAGCUGCAAACCCAAGGCCAACAUCUGAAAAUGCCUGCCUACUUGGACAUUGCUCUUCAGGGCAGCAUGAAUGUGAAAGAUCAGCACAUUAGAUGUAAACUCUCUCUGUUGGAGAGGAAGUGCAGCAGCGGUGUGGAGAAACUGAAGAUAGUUAUUGGAGAACACCUACAGAACGGGAUCCCUACAUCUCCCAUAUCUCCUAUUCUGGAGAAAACGGUGUCAUUUUUCACUCCCAAGAAGGUCUUGCUGUCACCCACCGGCUAUUCCAAAUAUUCCAGGGACAUGCUGCGUCUCUUUCCCGCUCCAGAGGAGGACAUUGUACCACUCUGCUUCGAACAAUGAACUGAUAGAUGCAUGGACGUGGAGGUUACCAUUCAGAGCUCACAGACCCUGCUGUAAUUAACUGUGGCCUAUUCCCUUGUGAUGCUGCUAUAGACAUGGACUGCAACUGAUUGGCAGAUAUUGGAUCGCAACUGACAGAGAGACAUAGCUAAAUGAAUAAUAUUUUUUUUAUAAUACAUUUUGUCUAAAAGUACAAUGAUUUUGUGAAGCUUAGUUUUGUGUAUGUUGCAAAUUCUCUAGAAAUUAUUUGGAAAUGCAUUGCAUGCAUUGUUAUAAGCAGUUAUACUGCUCUAUCCUUUCCCUGAGAAAGUCACCUUUGGAUGAAUUUGUUGAUCUAUGUUACCUGAAAGAGAGCGGAGUUGGUUACUCUGAUUGUAAACACUUGUCCUCAGAGUUUGAAUUACAGAGUGCUGGCCACUCUUGUUAUAAAGUAGAAGUAUUGAAAAUAUGACCAUUGGUUUAUCCCACUUUCUUAGGGUAUGUGAGUCAAUGUAUAAUUUGAACCCUGCUUUCCUUUAUACUAAUGGGAAAUGCUAUGAUUUUCUUGUUAAAGCAUAUUGUUUAUUUUGUUUUCAAUUACUUAUUAAUGGCUUCACACAUACACAAAUGUGCCUAAAGGGUUUUCAAAUGUGCCUAACAUGUUUCAUUCAAAGACUAAAUAAAUAUUUUGAUAAUAUA